UGGGGAAUAUUGCGCAAUGGGCGAAAGCCUGACGCAGCCACGCCGCGUGAGCGAUGAAGGUCUUCGGAUCGUAAAGCUCUGUGGGGGGAGAAGAAGAAAGCCUGUGAAGAGCAGGCCUUGACGGUAUCCCCUUAGCAAGCACCGGCUAACUCCGUGCCAGCAGCCGCGGUAAUACGGAGGGUGCAAACGUUGCUCGGAAUUAUUGGGCGUAAAGCGCACGUAGGCGGCCUAUUAAGUUGGGUGUGAAAGCCCGGGGCUCAACCCCGGAAGUGCAUCCAAAACUGCUAGGCUUGAGUACCAGAGGGGGUCGGAGAAUUCCCGGUGUAGAGGUGAAAUUCGUAGAUAUCGGGAGGAAUACCAGUGGCGAAGGCGCCGACCUGGAUGGUAACUGACGCUGAGGUGCGAAAGCGUGGGGAGCAAACAGG
RNAcentral lists this ribosomal RNA (425 nucleotides) under uncultured Nannocystaceae bacterium. Its description in RNAcentral is "bacterial SSU rRNA". It matches the Rfam family "Bacterial small subunit ribosomal RNA", at positions 355 to 776 of the family's 1533-position model. The record is from RNAcentral. Lineage: Bacteria; Pseudomonadati; Myxococcota; Nannocystales; Nannocystaceae.